Molecule: ribosomal RNA, 497 nt
Filed under: uncultured bacterium
Lineage: Bacteria
Description: partial 16S ribosomal RNA
Rfam family: Bacterial small subunit ribosomal RNA
Source: RNAcentral
AAUAAACGCUGGCGACGUGCCUAACACAUGCAAGUCGAGCGAGGAUAGCCUUUCGGGGUGACUCCUAGCGGCGGACGGGUGAGUAAAGCGUGAGAAUCUGCCCCUUAGUAAAGAAUACUCCCGAGAAAUCGGGCUUAAUGCUGUAUAGUUCCCUAACGGGAUAAAGAUGGCCUCUUGCUAUCGCUAAGGGAUGAGCUUACGUGCUAUCAGCUAGUUGGUGGGGUAAGAGCCUACCAAGGCUAUGACGGCUAGCCGGCCUGAGAGGGUGUACGGCCAUACUGGAACUGAGACACGGCCCAGACUCCUACGGGAGGCAGCAGUGGGGAAUAUUGGACAAUGGGGGGAACCCUGAUCCAGCCAUGCCGCGUGUGUGAAGAAGGCCUUAUGGUUGUAAAGCACUUUAAGCGAGGAGGAGGCUCUUUUGGUUAAUACCCAAGAUGAGUGGACGUUACUCGCAGAAUAAGCACCGGCUAACUCUGUGCCAGCCGCCGCGGUAA